RNAcentral lists this RNase P RNA (315 nucleotides) under chicken gut metagenome. Its description in RNAcentral is "Bacterial RNase P class A". It matches the Rfam family "Bacterial RNase P class A". Rfam says of the family: Ribonuclease P (RNase P) is a ubiquitous endoribonuclease, found in archaea, bacteria and eukarya as well as chloroplasts and mitochondria. Its best characterised activity is the generation of mature 5'-ends of tRNAs by cleaving the 5'-leader elements of precursor-tRNAs. The record is from RNAcentral.
GUUAGCCGAACGGUCGCAUCGCAAGAUGAGGAAAGUCCGAGCACCACAGGGCAAGAGUGGCAGGUAACGCCUGCUGAAGGCGACUUCAAGGAUAGUGCAACAGAAAUAAACCGCAGCGCAAGCUGUAAGGGUGGAAAGGUGCGGUAAGAGCGCACCGGCAGUUCGGAGACGAAAUUGGCCGUGUAAACCCCACUCGGUGCAAGAGAAAAGAGCAUAAGGGUUGCCCGCCCGCUCCGCAAUCGCUUGAACCCGAGGGCGACCUCGGGUCUAGACAGAUGACCGUUUAAGACAGAACUCGGCUUACAGACUAACUCA